UGCUGGAGGUAUCAGAAGUGCGAAUGCUGACAUAAGUAACGAUAAAGCGGGUGAAAAGCCCGCUCGCCGGAAGACCAAGGGUUCCUGUCCAACGUUAAUCGGGGCAGGGUGAGUCGACCCCUAAGGCGAGGCCGAAAGGCGUAGUCGAUGGGAAACAGGUUAAUAUUCCUGUACUUGGUGUUACUGCGAAGGGGGGACGGAGAAGGCUAUGUUAGCCGGGCGACGGUUGUCCCGGUUUAAGCAUGUAGGCUGAUUGUCCAGGCAAAUCCGGAUAAUCAAGGCUGAGGUGUGAUGACGAGGCACUACGGUGCUGAAGUAACAAAUGCCCUGCUUCCAGGAAAAGCCUCUAAGCAUCAGGUAACAUUAAAUCGUACCCCAAACCGACACAGGUGGUCAGGUAGAGAAUACCAAGGCGCUUGAGAGAACUCGGGUGAAGGAACUAGGCAAAAUGGUGCCGUAACUUCGGGAGAAGGCACGCUGGUGUGUAGGUGAAGUCCCUGCGGAUGGAGCUGAGACCAGUCGAAGAUACCAGCUGGCUGCAACUGUUUAUUAAAAACACAGCACUGUGCAAACACGAAAGUGGACGUAUACGGUGUGACGCCUGCCCGGUGCCGGAAGGUUAAUUGAUGGGGUUAUCCGUAAGGAGAAGCUCUUGAUCGAAGCCCCGGUAAACGGCGGCCGUAACUAUAACGGUCCUAAGGUAGCGAAAUUCCUUGUCGGGUAAGUUCCGACCUGCACGAAUGGCGUAAUGAUGGCCAGGCUGUCUCCACCCGAGACUCAGUGAAAUUGAACUCGCUGUGAAGAUGCAGUGUACCCGCGGCAAGACGGAAAGACCCCGUGAACCUUUACUAUAGCUUGACACUGAACAUUGAGCCUUGAUGUGUAGGAUAGGUGGGAGGCUUUGAAGCGUGGACGCCAGUCUGCGUGGAGCCAACCUUGAAAUACCACCCUUUAAUAUUUGAUGUUCUAACGUUGGCCCCUGACCGGGGUUGCGGACAGUGUCUGGUGGGUAGUUUGACUGGGGCGGUCUCCUCCCAAAGCGUAACGGAGGAGCACGAAGGUUAGCUAAUCCUGGUCGGACAUCAGGAGGUUAGUGCAAUGGCAUAAGCUAGCUUGACUGCGAGCGUGACGGCGCGAGCAGGUGCGAAAGCAGGUCAUAGUGAUCCGGUGGUUCUGAAUGGAAGGGCCAUCGCUCAACGGAUAAAAGGUACUCCGGGGAUAACAGGCUGAUACCGCCCAAGAGUUCAUAUCGACGGCGGUGUUUGGCACCUCGAUGUCGGCUCAUCACAUCCUGGGGCUGAAGUAGGUCCCAAGGGUAUGGCUGUUCGCCAUUUAAAGUGGUACGCGAGCUGGGUUUAGAACGUCGUGAGACAGUUCGGUCCCUAUCUGCCGUGGGCGCUGGAGAAUUGAGGGGGGCUGCUCCUAGUACGAGAGGACCGGAGUGGACGCAUCACUGGUGUUCGGGUUGUCAUGCCAAUGGCACUGCCCGGUAGCUAAAUGCGGAAGAGAUAAGUGCUGAAAGCAUCUAAGCACGAAACUUGCCCCGAGAUGAGUUCUCCCUGAGACUUUAAGUCUCCUGAAGGAACGUUGAAGACGACGACGUUGAUAGGCCGGGUGUGUAAGCGCAGCGAUGCGUUGAGCUAACCGGUACUAAUGAACCGUGAGGCUUAACCUU
Molecule: ribosomal RNA, 1675 nt
Filed under: Klebsiella pneumoniae CHS 24
Lineage: Bacteria; Pseudomonadati; Pseudomonadota; Gammaproteobacteria; Enterobacterales; Enterobacteriaceae
Description: bacterial LSU rRNA
Rfam family: Bacterial large subunit ribosomal RNA
Source: RNAcentral